UACGUAGGGGGCAAGCGUUGUCCGGAUUUAUUGGGCGUAAAGAGCGUGUAGGCGGCCAUACAGGUCCGUUGUGAAAACUGGAGGCUCAACCUCCAGACGUCGACGGAAACCGUAUGGCUAGAGUCCGGAAGAGGAGAGUGGAAUUCCUGGUGUAGCGGUGAAAUGCGCAGAUAUCAGGAAGAACACCCGUGGCGAAGGCGGCUCUCUGGGACGGUACUGACGCUGAGGAGCGAAAGCGUGGGGAGCGAACAGG
Molecule: ribosomal RNA, 253 nt
Filed under: uncultured bacterium
Lineage: Bacteria
Description: partial 16S ribosomal RNA
Rfam family: Bacterial small subunit ribosomal RNA
Source: RNAcentral